CCUACGGGUGGCAGCAGUGAGGAAUAUUGGUCAAUGGGCGCAAGCCUGAACCAGCCAAGUCGCGUGAGGGAUGACGGUCCUAUGGAUUGUAAACCUCUUUUGUCGGGGAGCAAGGCCCGCCACGUGUGGCGGGAAGGAGGGUACCCGAAGAAAAAGCAUCGGCUAACUCCGUGCCAGCAGCCGCGGUAAUACGGAGGAUGCGAGCGUUAUCCGGAGUUAUUGGGUUUAAAGGGUGCGUAGGCGGAAGGUUAAGUCAGCGGUCAAAUGUCGGUGCUCAACACCGGCCUGCCGUUGAAACUGGUCGUCUUGAGUGAGCGAGAAGUAUGUGGAAUGCGUGGUGUAGCGGUGAAAUGCAUAGAUAUCACGCAGAACUCUGAUUGCGAAGGCAGCAUACUGGCGCUCAACUGACGCUGAGGCACGAAAGCGUGGGGAUCGAACAGGAUUAGAUACCCGAGUAGUC
This 460-nucleotide ribosomal RNA is filed under the name uncultured bacterium. Its description in RNAcentral is "partial 16S ribosomal RNA". It matches the Rfam family "Bacterial small subunit ribosomal RNA", at positions 338 to 795 of the family's 1533-position model. The record is from RNAcentral.